UAGGGAAUAUUGGGCAAUGGGCGAAAGCCUGACCCAGCAACGCCGCGUGAGUGAAGAAGGUCUUCGGAUUGUAAAGCUCUUUGACGAGGGAAGACAAGAGGACGGUACCUCGAAAACAAGCCACGGCUAACUACGUGCCAGCAGCCGCGGUAAUACGUAGGUGGCAAGCGUUAUCCGGAAUUACUGGGUGUAAAGGGCGUGUAGGUGGGUAAGUAAGUCAGAAGUGAAAGACCACGGCUUAACCGUGGAAUUGCUUUUGAAACUGCAUAUCUUGAGUGAUGGAGAGGUAAUCGGAAUUCCUGGUGUAGCGGUGAAAUGCGUAGAUAUCAGGAGGAACACCGGUGGCGAAGGCGGAUUACUGGACAUUAACUGACACUGAGGCGCGAAAGCGUGGGGAGCAAACA
The sequence is a ribosomal RNA, 404 nucleotides long. It matches the Rfam family "Bacterial small subunit ribosomal RNA", at positions 355 to 774 of the family's 1533-position model.